CUCCGGGUUGAUCCCGCCGGACCCGACUGCUAUCAGAGUGGGACUAAGCCAUGCGAGUCAACAUAGCAAUAUGUGGCAUACGGCUCAGUAACACGUAGUCAACAUGCCCAGGGGACGUGGAUAACCUCGGGAAACUGAGGAUAAACCGCGAUAGGUCAUCACUUCUGGAAUGGGUAAUGACUUAAAUCUAUAUGGCCCCUGGAUUGGACUGCGGCCGAUCAGGCUGUUGGUGAGGUAAUGGCCCACCAAACCUGUAACCGGUACGGGCUCUGAGAGGAGGAGCCCGGAGAUGGGCACUGAGACAAGGGCCCAGGCCCUAUGGGGCGCAGCAGGCGCGAAACCUCUGCAAUAGGCGAAAGCUUGACAGGGUUACUCUGAGUGAUUUCCGUUAAGGAGAUCUUUUGGCACCUCUAAAAAUGGUGCAGAAUAAGGGGUGGGCAAGUCUGGUGUCAGCCGCCGCGGUAAUACCAGCACCCCGAGUGGUCGGGACGUUUAUUGGGCCUAAAGCAUCCGUAGCCGGUUCUACAAGUCUUCCGUUAAAUCCACCUGCUUAACAGAUGGGCUGCGGAAGAUACUAUAGAGCUAGGAGGCGGGAGAGGCAAGCGGUACUCGAUGGGUAGGGGUAAAAUCCGUUGAUCCAUUGAAGACCACCAGUGGCGAAGGCGGCUUGCCAGAACGCGCUCGACGGUGAGGGAUGAAAGCUGGGGGAGCAAACCGGAUUAGAUACCCGGGUAGUCCCAGCUGUAAACGAUGCAGACUCGGUGAUGAGUUGGCUUAUUGCUAACUCAGUGCCGCAGGGAAGCCGUUAAGUUUGCCGCCUGGGGAGUACGGUCGCAAGACUGAAACUUAAAGGAAAUGGGCGGGGGAGCA
This 870-nucleotide ribosomal RNA is filed under the name uncultured archaeon. RNAcentral describes it as "bacterial SSU rRNA". It matches the Rfam family "Archaeal small subunit ribosomal RNA", at positions 1 to 878 of the family's 1478-position model. The record is from RNAcentral.